GCAAAACAGCAGCUCUGAGAGAUGUUUACUAAUUGUUCUGCAUUUGUUACAUGAUGUAGUAGGAAAAGCACUGCAUUUGGAGCCAUAAACACAAGAUUCUUGUUUCUGUCUGCCUGCUAGCUAGCUUUAGUGUAUGAAGAAAAUUUCUUUACCCACCUGGACCUCAAUUCGCUUACUUGUAGAAUGUGGGUGUAGGAUUUGAGGAUAUCUGAAAUUACUUCCACCAUCUGCCAUGUGGAUCAGGACAUCACUGCUGUCUCAAAACCUUACAAUAUUCAUCUAGAAGAAGGCUGUGUCAUCUAGUUUCUUCAGUGACAUGUGCGACCUUGACUUUUAAUUAUUCAAGAGUGGCAAGUAUGGAACCUAAAGUGGAUUGUUGACACAAGAUGCCUGGAAAUAAGGAGGAGGUUCCAUAUGAAUAUAACUUCUUGCCUAAGUUGGUUUAGGUAAGAAGACUCUUCAUGUGCCUGUUUCCUUCAAAUUUUAAGGAGAGCUCUUGCAUGGUGGUAGAACCGAGGACAGCCUAGACCUUCUGAUUGUCAACUCCUUGUUCCAUUGUGUCCAAACCUACAUGUCUGAACUCCUCUCAUCAAAGACUUCUCAAAGUUAUUAAUAACUGGGGAUCACGUAUUCAGUAAUUACACACAUCAGGCUCCAUGCUUUCUGUGCAGUAUGUAAAUUGAUUCAUUGUCAUACUAAUUAUAAAUGGCUAGUAUUAUUGCUGCUUUACAAAUGAGGCAUAUGACACACAGGGAGCUAAAUAAUUUGCCUAAGGUCACCCCACUUGUAAAUGAUGAAGCCAGGACUCAAGGCCAGGUCUGGCCACCCCUGAAUUUAAUAGCUUUAUCCUCUAUAUCUCUGUUUUCUCCCAGACCAAGGUGUCUGUACCUCUCUGCCAACAGAGAAAAGGGUUCAUUCAUUCAUCAAAUGUUUGUUGAGCAUCUAUUGUGACUCAGGCAAUAUCCUAGAUCAAGGAUUGUCAAACUUUUUCUAUAAAGGACAAGAGAGCAAACAUUUUAGGUCUCCUGGGUCAUACGGUCAGUCACUGUGAUUCAACUCUGCUGUUGUAGUACAAGAUUGUGAAAGCAGCCAUAGAUGAUAUGUCAAUGAAUGAGCAUGGUUGUGUUCCAAUAAAAUGUCACUUGCGAAAGCAGGCUGUGGGCUGGGUUUGGGCCAAGAGUUCUAUCCCUGCUCUAGGCACUGGAGUUACAAUAGCAAAAAAUUAAAAUAAAGUAAAAUAAAAACACAAAAAUGCCUGCCUUUGUGGUGCUUCCAUUCCAGAAUGGGGAAGUAAUUGUAUUUCUGUCCCGUUUAUCAUGUAAAAAUUGUCAUAGGAUCUUGGAGUUGCUGAGCACCUAGAGGUGAUCUGUUCAGCAUUUUCCUCCCAGGGCAGCUCUCCACUCAGAACUCUCUUGGCUGGUGAGGGUUCAUUCUGUGUGCCCGGAUCUAGUGUCACCUCACCUUCCAGGGGACCCAUCCUUGUCACAUAGUCCUUGCUUAUCUGUCUUCCUGACAAUUUAACUCACAUCCUACCCUGUUUGGGCAGAGGGCCCCACAUUUUAGCAUAUCAUAAUCACUUUUGGGGCUUGAAACACUUUGAUGGGCUCCACUCUCGAGAUUCUGAUUCAAUAGGUCUGGAGUGAGGCCCAAGAUUUUCCCUUUCUGACAAAUUCCCAGGUAAUUCC
RNAcentral lists this long non-coding RNA (1685 nucleotides) under Homo sapiens (human). RNAcentral describes it as "HSALNT0013218". The record is from RNAcentral. Lineage: Eukaryota; Metazoa; Chordata; Mammalia; Primates; Hominidae.